This 712-nucleotide ribosomal RNA is filed under the name uncultured bacterium. RNAcentral's name for it is "bacterial SSU rRNA". It matches the Rfam family "Bacterial small subunit ribosomal RNA", at positions 8 to 715 of the family's 1533-position model. The record is from RNAcentral.
AGAGUUUGAUCCUGGCUCAGAUUGAACGCUGGCGGCAUGCUUUACACAUGCAAGUCGAACGGUAACGCGGGGGCAACCCUGGCGACGAGUGGCGAACGGGUGAGUAAUACAUCGGAACAUGUCCUGGAGUGGGGGAUAGCUCGGCGAAAGCCGGAUUAAUACCGCAUACGCUCUGAGGAGGAAAGCGGGGGACCUUCGGGCCUCGCGCUGCAGGAGUGGCCGAUGUCGGAUUAGCUAGUUGGUGGGGUAAAGGCCCACCAAGGCGACGAUCCGUAGCUGGUCUGAGAGGAUGAUCAGCCACACUGGGACUGAGACACGGCCCAGACUCCUACGGGAGGCAGCAGUGGGGAAUUUUGGACAAUGGGGGCAACCCUGAUCCAGCCAUGCCGCGUGAGUGAAGAAGGCCUUCGGGUUGUAAAGCUCUUUCGGACGGAACGAAACGGCUGGCGUGAAUAACGCCGGUUACUGACGGUACCGUAAGAAGAAGCACCGGCUAACUACGUGCCAGCAGCCGCGGUAAUACGUAGGGUGCGAGCGUUAAUCGGAAUUACUGGGCGUAAAGCGUGCGCAGGCGGUUCGCCAAGUCAGGUGUGAAAUCCCCGGGCUUAACCUGGGAAUUGCGCUUGAAACUAGCGGGCUUGAGUGUGGCAGAGGGGGGUGGAAUUCCACGUGUAGCAGUGAAAUGCGUAGAGAUGUGGAGGAACACCGAUGG